RNAcentral lists this ribosomal RNA (496 nucleotides) under uncultured bacterium. Its description in RNAcentral is "partial 16S ribosomal RNA". It matches the Rfam family "Bacterial small subunit ribosomal RNA", at positions 28 to 506 of the family's 1533-position model. The record is from RNAcentral.
GAUGAACGCUGGCGGCGUGCCUAAUACAUGCAAGUCGAGCGAACAGACGAGGAGCUUGCUCCUCUGACGUUAGCGGCGGACGGGUGAGUAACACGUGGAUAACCUACCUAUAAGACUGGGAUAACUUCGGGAAACCGGAGCUAAUACCGGAUAAUAUAUUGAACCGCAUGGUUCAAUAGUGAAAGACGGUUUUGCUGUCACUUAUAGAUGGAUCCGCGCCGCAUUAGCUAGUUGGUAAGGUAACGGCUUACCAAGGCAACGAUGCGUAGCCGACCUGAGAGGGUGAUCGGCCGCACUGGAACUGAGACACGGUCCAGACUCCUACGGGAGGCAGCAGUAGGGAAUCUUCCGCAAUGGGCGAAAGCCUGACGGAGCAACGCCGCGUGAGUGAUGAAGGUCUUCGGAUCGUAAAACUCUGUUAUUAGGGAAGAACAAAUGUGUAAGUAACUAUGCACGUCUUGACGGUACCUAAUCAGAAAGCCACGGCUAACUACGU